GGCAUAUAUUUAUACAAGGUGUGCUCAAUUAAAAAAAAACUAGCACGAAAAGCAGGUUUCAAGCAGAUUUUGUAGAUUUUUUUAUUUAUAUACAUUUACAUAUUUUUAUUCGACGCAACCAGUAUGCAAUUUUCGGGUCACUUUAGUUUAGCAGUGCGCAUCCAAUAAAUCCAAUAUUCGUGCUAAUUAUUUAUUUCGCGCAAGGAAUAAAGCACACCAUGCCCUUGCUGGGACCCAAGAUUUUGACAGUUCUGUUUUUUUUAUCUUCUGCUGAGCUGUCGUGAAAAUUGCUCGACCGUGCGAAGAAAAUUUUAAUCUAGAAAAAUGAGAGAAAACCACAGGAAAUUGCAAUUGUCGUGGAGCGGAUAGUGAAAACAACGGGUAGACCUCAUCCGUCAGUGUGGGAACCACUCACGGAGCCAACGACUUUUCUGACCCACCCACCCCGAUGAUCACAAUCUGGCCAGGACAGGAAUAGCUGGAUCGGGUUUCUCCCGGUUCCGCAGCCCAAGGAAGUGAGCUCUACACCGGUACUUCGCCAUCAGUUUUACCAGGAACAGCUGAUUACCGGACCUGAUCGAUGUAGUGCUAUACCGCAACCUUAGGCCCGGAUUCACAAAGCUGCUGAUAAAGCGUGUUUACCGGCUCCGAGAGAAGCUCAAGCUGGAGUUCGGCAUCUAAAGAAUCAGGUUGAUCUCAAACGCAGUCGUUGAGACCUUUGAAAUCCGGAUCGAAACCUCCCGGACUGAUGGGACAGCUACUCACGCGCUAAUUUUGUUAUUUGUGGUCAAACAUGAAAAAUAUUUGUUUAUAAAUGUUUAAAUCAAGACUAGCCUGUUUCACUACAUUCCGAGAAGUAAAUUUA
Molecule: long non-coding RNA, 865 nt
Organism: Culex pipiens pallens (northern house mosquito)
Lineage: Eukaryota; Metazoa; Arthropoda; Insecta; Diptera; Culicidae
Exons: 2
Source: RefSeq, a predicted model, not a curated record